This is a small nuclear RNA of Nycticebus coucang (slow loris), 105 nucleotides long. The record is from RefSeq and is a predicted model, not a curated record. NCBI's taxonomy places the organism in Eukaryota, Metazoa, Chordata, Mammalia, Primates, Lorisidae.
GUGCUCACUUCACAGCAUGUAUGCUAAAAUUGGAAGAAUACAGGGAAGAUUACCGUGACCCUGCGCAAGGAUGGCCUGCAAAUUUGUGAAGCAUUCUAUAUUUUU